GGGACACGUGGUAUCCUGUCUGAAUAUGGGGGGACCAUCCUCCAAGGCUAAAUACUCCUGACUGACCGAUAGUGAACCAGUACCGUGAGGGAAAGGCGAAAAGAACCCCGGCGAGGGGAGUGAAAAAGAACCUGAAACCGUGUACGUACAAGCAGUGGGAGCACGCUUAGGCGUGUGACUGCGUACCUUUUGUAUAAUGGGUCAGCGACUUAUAUUCUGUAGCAAGGUUAACCGAAUAGGGGAGCCGAAGGGAAACCGAGUCUUAACUGGGCGUUAAGUUGCAGGGUAUAGACCCGAAACCCGGUGAUCUAGCCAUGGGCAGGUUGAAGGUUGGGUAACACUAACUGGAGGACCGAACCGACUAAUGUUGAAAAAUUAGCGGAUGACUUGUGGCUGGGGGUGAAAGGCCAAUCAAACCGGGAGAUAGCUGGUUCUCCCCGAAAGCUAUUUAGGUAGCGCCUCGUGAAUUCAUCUCCGGGGGUAGAGCACUGUUUCGGCAAGGGGGUCAUCCCGACUUACCAACCCGAUGCAAACUGCGAAUACCGGAGAAUGUUAUCACGGGAGACACACGGCGGGUGCUAACGUCCGUCGUGAAGAGGGAAACAACCCAGACCGCCAGCUAAGGUCCCAAAGUCAUGGUUAAGUGGGAAACGAUGUGGGAAGGCCCAGACAGCCAGGAUGUUGGCUUAGAAGCAGCCAUCAUUUAAAGAAAGCGUAAUAGCUCACUGGUCGAGUCGGCCUGCGCGGAAGAUGUAACGGGGCUAAACCAUGCACCGAAGCUGCGGCAGCGACGCUUAUGCGUUGUUGGGUAGGGGAGCGUUCUGUAAGCCUGUGAAGGUGUGCUGUGAGGCAUGCUGGAGGUAUCAGAAGUGCGAAUGCUGACAUAAGUAACGAUAAAGCGGGUGAAAAGCCCGCUCGCCGGAAGACCAAGGGUUCCUGUCCAACGUUAAUCGGGGCAGGGUGAGUCGACCCCUAAGGCGAGGCCGAAAGGCGUAGUCGAUGGGAAACAGGUUAAUAUUCCUGUACUUGGUGUUACUGCGAAGGGGGGACGGAGAAGGCUAUGUUGGCCGGGCGACGGUUGUCCCGGUUUAAGCGUGUAGGCUGGUUUUCCAGGCAAAUCCGGAAAAUCAAGGCUGAGGCGUGAUGACGAGGCACUACGGUGCUGAAGCAACAAAUGCCCUGCUUCCAGGAAAAGCCUCUAAGCAUCAGGUAACAUCAAAUCGUACCCCAAACCGACACAGGUGGUCAGGUAGAGAAUACCAAGGCGCUUGAGAGAACUCGGGUGAAGGAACUAGGCAAAAUGGUGCCGUAACUUCGGGAGAAGGCACGCUGAUAUGUAGGUGAAGCGACUUGCUCGUGGAGCUGAAAUCAGUCGAAGAUACCAGCUGGCUGCAACUGUUUAUUAAAAACACAGCACUGUGCAAACACGAAAGUGGACGUAUACGGUGUGACGCCUGCCCGGUGCCGGAAGGUUAAUUGAUGGGGUUAGCGCAAGCGAAGCUCUUGAUCGAAGCCCCGGUAAACGGCGGCCGUAACUAUAACGGUCCUAAGGUAGCGAAAUUCCUUGUCGGGUAAGUUCCGACCUGCACGAAUGGCGUAAUGAUGGCCAGGCUGUCUCCACCCGAGACUCAGUGAAAUUGAACUCGCUGUGAAGAUGCAGUGUACCCGCGGCAAGACGGAAAGACCCCGUGAACCUUUACUAUAGCUUGACACUGAACAUUGAGCCUUGAUGUGUAGGAUAGGUGGGAGGCUUUGAAGUGUGGACGCCAGUCUGCAUGGAGCCGACCUUGAAAUACCACCCUUUAAUGU
Molecule: ribosomal RNA, 1809 nt
Filed under: Escherichia coli
Lineage: Bacteria; Pseudomonadati; Pseudomonadota; Gammaproteobacteria; Enterobacterales; Enterobacteriaceae
Description: partial 23S ribosomal RNA
Rfam family: Bacterial large subunit ribosomal RNA
Source: RNAcentral